CCUACGGGAGGCAGCAGUGGGGAAUAUUGGUCAAUGGGCGCAAGCCUGACCCAGCAACGCCGCGUGAAGGAAGAAGGCCCUCGGGUUGUAAACUUCUUUUGUCAGGGACGAAGCAAGUGACGGUACCUGACGAAUAAGCCACGGCUAACUACGUGCCAGCAGCCGCUGUAAUACGUAGGUGGCAAGCGUUAUCCGGAUUUACUGGGUGUACAGGGCGUGUAGGCGGGGAAGCAAGUCAGAUGUGAAAUUCCAGGGCUCAACCCUGGAACGGGAUUUGAAACUGUGUUUCUUGAGUGAUGGGGAGGCAGGCGGAAUUCCGGGUGGAGCGGUGAAAUGCGGAGAUAUACGGAGGAACACCAGUGGCGAAGGCGGCCUGCUGGACAUUAACUGACGCUGAGGCGCGAAAGCGCGGGGAGCAAACAGGAUUAGAUACCCUAGUAGUC
RNAcentral lists this ribosomal RNA (443 nucleotides) under uncultured bacterium. Its description in RNAcentral is "partial 16S ribosomal RNA". It matches the Rfam family "Bacterial small subunit ribosomal RNA", at positions 338 to 795 of the family's 1533-position model. The record is from RNAcentral.